GCCGGACACUUUUCAGUAACCGUGAUCAAUUUUAAUUUCUUAUUUUCACUGUUUUUCACCAAUAUUAGGAGCUAUUUACGGUGGGCGACAAAUUUUAGGAACAUCUUAAUCAAUAUAAAAUUGAUAUCGGCGUGGAUUUUCGUGUUUAAAUACCUAAAUACAGUGUCAUGGAGAUAGUCGUUUUAUGGGCUGCUGCGGAAGAAAAUGUCUUCAGAAUCUUGAGCAAAUCGAUUGCAGGAUACUUCGAGAGAAAAGCCAGUAUAUACUUCUCACAGAGAGUAGCUACAUUGGUAAUUUUAGAUUAUCAAAAGAUGCAUUUCGGACUUUGUAUCAUGACUUAGGACCAUAUCUGAAGGUCCAAUGCUCUACAACUGUGCAAUCGACUUUAAGUGACAAAUGCCCUCAAUCAGCCUGCAAUCGUGAGAUAAUAUAUCAAGUUUCCUCGGACAAAAACUGAGCAUAUAGAAGUCUCCAGAGGUUUUAAUGACAAAUUUGGAUUUCUUGGAGUACUUUGAUGCAUCCAUGGCACACACAUUGCCAUUAUCCAACCUCACAAGUGGGAAGAGGCCUUCUUCAAUAGCAAGUAUUACCAUUCAUUGCAUGUUAUGUUGGUUUGUGAUGGAGAUAUGUGCAUUUGUGAUGCAUCCAAUGGGAGUGUUAGUGCUAGACUGCUAGCCAAGAUAACCAUAUUUGGAACAACAGCACUUUGAGAAGGGAAAAGGAACAUCUCCUUAAUUUUAAUAUGUUUAAGUUCAUUAAGUGGACUUGUGUGGUCCUUGAAAUGUAAAUUAUGAAGUCAGUGUGGUGUAAUCAAAAGUGGCAGAUUUGUUAUUCAAUAAUACAACAUCUAAACAAACCUUUCUUUAUUGACAUCAAAUAAACUAUUUUCAUUAUGCAUAUUUAUUUAUUUUGUGUUAUUACAUAAUUUGUUUCAUUGCACCCCUCUCAUUAACAAACUUAUCUCUCAAGUAGAUACAUUUUUUUCUAAUCUUGU
Long non-coding RNA from Pectinophora gossypiella (pink bollworm), 994 nucleotides. RefSeq lists it as uncharacterized. The transcript is spliced from 4 exons. The record is from RefSeq and is a predicted model, not a curated record. Lineage: Eukaryota; Metazoa; Arthropoda; Insecta; Lepidoptera; Gelechiidae.